This 467-nucleotide ribosomal RNA is filed under the name uncultured organism. RNAcentral describes it as "bacterial SSU rRNA". It matches the Rfam family "Bacterial small subunit ribosomal RNA", at positions 28 to 507 of the family's 1533-position model. The record is from RNAcentral.
GACGAACGCUGGCGGCGUGCUUAACACAUGCAAGUCGAACGGAAUCCAUGGAAGCUUGCUUCCGGAAGAUUUAGUGGCGAACGGGUGAGUAACACGUGAGCAACCUGCCCCGAAGCGGGGGAUAACUCAGGGAAACUUGGGCUAAUACCGCAUACCUUCAUUAGAUCGCAUGGUUUGAUGAAGAAAGAUUUAUCACUUCGGGAGGGGCUCGCGGCCUAUCAGCUUGUUGGUGAGGUAACGGCUCACCAAGGCUACGACGGGUAGCUGGUCUGAGAGGACGAUCAGCCACACUGGAACUGAGACACGGUCCAGACUCCUACGGGAGGCAGCAGUGGGGAAUCUUGCGCAAUGGGCGAAAGCCUGACGCAGCAACGCCGCGUGCGGGAUGAAGGCCCUCGGGUCGUAAACCGCUUUCGACAGGGAAGAAAAUGACGGUACCUGUAGAAGAAGCCCCGGCCAACUACGUG